UCAAAGCCCCGCCCGCCACCGUGUCGGACCCCCAGCCAGAGGAGAAACAGCUCGCCAGUCAUUAUCAAAAAGAAAGCGGGUGCCGCCCCAGGACCUCCACAUCUGGCUCAUGCUCAGAGUGAUGAAAUUAUAAUCGCAAAAUCAACAGAAGUUUAGCCCUGGAUUCCCUGCAGAAGAUUAUUGGCCAGUUGAAGCUGUUUGGUCCAGCUGGAGAGUUCCUGGUCGCCCUGCAGACAGACAGGCAACACAGUCAUGUGGCAACGCAAUCAUGAGGCACUAGGCAUUGUCUGGUCAAAAGGCCUGGUUUGCAUGUCAUUGCAACACAAUAAUACAAUGACAAUAGCACUGGCAAUAUUAACCCACAAAUAAUAGCCACAAUAUGUGACUUUGUUCUUUGAGCUUCAUCCCUGACCAUGUUUUUAUUUGAAUAUAGAACCAAGCAUCAGCUGCUAUCACAAUGCAUUCAACAUGUGAUGAAGAACAUAGUUUAUUUGACGUCCUGAGCACAAGUAGCCCAAAAUGGGAAUUGGUAUUAAUUUAUCAUCAACAACUACAAGAAAAAUGUUUCACCCUCAUGAAAAAAGAAGUUUUUUUUUCUUUACUGUGAUGAGUGAACUACUUAUGUUUUUAAUGCUUGACUGACUCAUGACUCUUGACACUGAUUCAUAUGUACUGACUAUAGUCAGAGAACACGUUCUUUGCAUAAUGCAUUUAGUAAUGAG
Molecule: long non-coding RNA, 722 nt
Organism: Seriola dumerili (greater amberjack)
Lineage: Eukaryota; Metazoa; Chordata; Actinopteri; Carangiformes; Carangidae
Exons: 3
Source: RefSeq, a predicted model, not a curated record